UACGAGGGGUGCAAGCGUUGCUCGGAAUUAUUGGGCGUAAAGGGGAGGUAGGUGGUCUCAUUUGUCUGGGGUGAAAGCCUUGAGCUUAACUCAAGAAGUGCCCCGGAAACGGUGAGACUGGAGUCCUGGAGAGGGUCGUGGAAUUCCCGGUGUAGCGGUGAAAUGCGUAGAGAUCGGGAGGAACACCAGCGGCGAAGGCGGCGACCUGGACAGGUACUGACACUCAACUCCGAAAGCGUGGGGAGCAAACAG
This 252-nucleotide ribosomal RNA is filed under the name uncultured bacterium. RNAcentral describes it as "partial 16S ribosomal RNA". It matches the Rfam family "Bacterial small subunit ribosomal RNA", at positions 524 to 775 of the family's 1533-position model. The record is from RNAcentral.